ACAGGUCGCCAGACGGUCGCGUCGGCUCCAUGAGCCGCCGAGGAACGUCCGGGCUCCGCAGAGCACGGUGGUGGGCAACACCCACCCGGGGCAACCCGCGGGACAGUGCCACAGAGAACAGACCGCCCGCCCGGGCAACCGGGCGGGUAAGGGUGAAACGGCGGUGUAAGAGACCACCAGGGUUCCGGGUGACCGGAAUCGCUCGGCAAACCCCACCGGGAGCAAGAUCAGACAGACGGUGCUUGAGGGCUGCUCGCCCAAGCCGUCGGGUGGAUCGCUCGAGGGCGCCGGCAACGGCGCUCCUAGAUAGAUGACCGUCGCGUCCGCACCCGCAAGGGCGCAGGCGCCACAGAACCCGGCGUAUCGGCGGCCUGUCCCC
RNAcentral lists this RNase P RNA (379 nucleotides) under Brevibacterium rongguiense. RNAcentral's name for it is "Bacterial RNase P class A". It matches the Rfam family "Bacterial RNase P class A". Rfam says of the family: Ribonuclease P (RNase P) is a ubiquitous endoribonuclease, found in archaea, bacteria and eukarya as well as chloroplasts and mitochondria. Its best characterised activity is the generation of mature 5'-ends of tRNAs by cleaving the 5'-leader elements of precursor-tRNAs. Lineage: Bacteria; Bacillati; Actinomycetota; Actinomycetes; Micrococcales; Brevibacteriaceae. The record is from Rfam by way of RNAcentral. RNAcentral also lists the same sequence under 1 other name.